Molecule: non-coding RNA, 154 nt
Organism: Podarcis lilfordi (Lilford's wall lizard)
Lineage: Eukaryota; Metazoa; Chordata; Lepidosauria; Squamata; Lacertidae
Source: the annotation of a GenBank genome assembly
GUAAGCAGGAGUGGGCGGGGAUCCCUCAGCUGGGAAGGGAGGCUUCCCAUUGCCUAUCUGAGAGAUCCCUGCCCCCUCCUGCUUGCACACAAGCUCUGAUACAGUGUGAAGUCUCCCUUCACAGUUGAGAGACCCCCGCGCCACUCCUGCUUGC